RNAcentral lists this ribosomal RNA (230 nucleotides) under uncultured bacterium. Its description in RNAcentral is "partial 16S ribosomal RNA". It matches the Rfam family "Bacterial small subunit ribosomal RNA", at positions 118 to 348 of the family's 1533-position model. The record is from RNAcentral.
UGAGCAAUCUGCCCUUCUCAUCGGAAUAAGCGUUGGAAACGACGUCUAAUGCCGAAUAUGACCUCCUUUCGCAUGAUCGGAGGUGGAAAGCUCCGGCGGAGAAGGAUGAGCUCGCGGCCUAUCAGCUAGUUGGUGUGGGUAAUGGCCCACCAAGGCGACGACGGGUAGCCGGCCUGAGAGGGUGACCGGCCACACUGGGACUGAGACACGGCCCAGACUCCGUAGGGAGG